UACGUAGGGGGCUAGCGUUGUCCGGAAUCAUUGGGCGUAAAGCGCGUGUAGGCGGUCCGGUAAGUCCGCUGUGAAAGUCGGGGGCUCAACCCUCGGAUGCCGGUGGAUACUGUCGGGCUUGAGUACGGAAGAGGCGAGUGGAAUUCCUGGUGUAGCGGUGAAAUGCGCAGAUAUCAGGAGGAACACCAAUUGCGAAGGCAGCUCGCUGGGACGUUACUGACGCUGAGACGCGAAAGCGUGGGGAGCAAUCAGG
RNAcentral lists this ribosomal RNA (253 nucleotides) under uncultured bacterium. RNAcentral describes it as "partial 16S ribosomal RNA". It matches the Rfam family "Bacterial small subunit ribosomal RNA", at positions 524 to 776 of the family's 1533-position model. The record is from RNAcentral.